UUUAAAGACCAAACAGCCUAUUGUUUAUGCGCAUCAACUAACGCAACUUGGUAGUGACAUAAAAGCUCUAUGACGUUGUUUCUAGCAAUGAAAAAAACGUCAAAUUAAAAUGUCCUAUUUCACGUUUUUCACGGAUUCCAACAUGGUGUACGCUUAAAAAUACGUCUCCCAAGAAAAGAGGAAUUAAGCGUCGAGCUGAUAUCUUGUGGAAAUUUAACACAAAUGGACACAAAAGAUACUACACUAUAUAUAACCUUCGUUCUAAUAAAAAAACAAUAAAAUAUAAAUUUUGAUCUCGACUUUUUUGCGCCGAUAUGCAUUUUUUUUUUAUUCUUUCACAUGCGUAGAUUUUGUCUUUUAUUUCCGCUGAUUUGCAUUUCAUUUUUUUUUAAUUCUUUCACUUGUGUAGAUUUUGUCUUUCA
RNAcentral lists this long non-coding RNA (422 nucleotides) under Mytilus galloprovincialis (Mediterranean mussel). Lineage: Eukaryota; Metazoa; Mollusca; Bivalvia; Mytilida; Mytilidae. The record is from RNAcentral.